RNAcentral lists this ribosomal RNA (497 nucleotides) under uncultured bacterium. RNAcentral describes it as "partial 16S ribosomal RNA". It matches the Rfam family "Bacterial small subunit ribosomal RNA", at positions 28 to 507 of the family's 1533-position model. The record is from RNAcentral.
GAUGAACGCUGGCGGCGUGCCUAAUACAUGCAAGUCGAGCGAACAGACGAGGAGCUUGCUCCUCUGACGUUAGCGGCGGACGGGUGAGUAACACGUGGAUAACCUACCUAUAAGACUGGGAUAACUUCGGGAAACCGGAGCUCAUACCGGAUAAUAUAUUGAACCGCAUGGUUCAAUAGUGAAAGACGGCUUUGCUGUCACUUAUAGAUGGAUCCGCGCCGCAUUAGCUAGUUGGUAAGGUAACGGCUUACCAAGGCAACGAUGCGUAGCCGACCUGAGAGGGUGAUCGGCCACACUGGAACUGAGACACGGUCCAGACUCCUACGGGAGGCAGCAGUAGGGAAUCUUCCGCAAUGGGCGAAAGCUUGACGGAGCAACGCCGCGUGAGUGAUGAAGGUCUUCGGAUCGUAAAACUCUUUUAUUAGGGAAGAACAAAUGUGUAAGUAACUAUGCACGUCUUGACGGUACCUAAUCAGAAAGCCACGGCUAACUACGUG